Molecule: long non-coding RNA, 721 nt
Filed under: Nicotiana benthamiana
Lineage: Eukaryota; Viridiplantae; Streptophyta; Magnoliopsida; Solanales; Solanaceae
Description: long non-coding RNA (NBEN_LNC010818)
Source: RNAcentral
AGUCAUUCAUUACAUAAUAAUUGGAGUUAUACCCUCUCAACAACAUCGAAUGCAUGCGCCUUUAUCACAAACGCAACAUUUGGUUUUGCAUUGUGAUGCAAAAGUGCAACCUGAAAUUCACGAAACAAACAUAUUUCAUAUAGAAUAGAUAAAAAAAAAAUUAAAAGCUUUCAUUUUAAAUGUUGUAGACCUAGCAGAAGAAAACCUAAAUCUACGAAUUUUUUAACCCAAAAUACACAUUUGUAAUCGUGAUUACAAAAAUAAUUAUGUAUACAUAAGAAAAAGUUGAAUCUAUUAGUACCAAAAUUGUAAUUAAAAAACAAACAUCAAACAUCCAUUGCAAACAUUCCAUAAGAAUAUAUUUUUGAGUUAUUUAGUUUCUUUGAAGAUGUAUCAACCUUUAUGCUAUGCAAAUUUUAAUUAUAAUUAUAAACAGAUAACGAGAAAAUGAAAGAAAAAAGUUUUAAAAAAAUUAAAACUGAAUAUACCUGUAAUAGAUACGCGAGUGCUACGACUUGCAGCAGACAGUUCUAGUGAUGCUUUUGGUGCGUAUGAUUGCUCGGAUACAUAUGAUGGUUUUGGUGCAUACGAAGACUCUGGCACCUCCUGUGUUAAUGAAACAAGAACAAACAUGACAAAAAUCAUGUAAACCAAAACAUUGGUUGAUUUUGUCAUCUUAAACAACUAUGCUUAUUUAUGCCUGUAGGUACUUUUGGUUUUU